UUACUGAGUCAUCCUUUUUCAAGUCUUGUUACUUAUCACCGAGCGCCUUCCCCCGAAGCCAGCUGGCACUCCCGGCGCGUCUAGAAGGUCCUCUUCAAGAGGCCCGCACUGUGGCCCCUGGAAGGUGUAUCUCUUUGACUGGAUUUACAUCUCCGUGAUCACUAGUGAGGCUGGACUUAUCUCUCACACAGUGAUUAGUGGCAGACCCGGGAGGAAUUGUCACCGAGAGCGGCUUGUCACUCCUGCGGGCCCUCUCGUCCUCGCUCUCACUCCCGGUUGCUGCUGAUUUGGUGUUUCAGUCUGGACCCAGAUAAUUUAGGGGUGCACCAGUGAGGAAAACCGUCUCCUAUUCAACAUAUCCAGCCGAACUUUGUUCUUCACGAGGACCUGUGUCCGCAUUUCGACCCCUCACCUCAGCCCCUGCCACGUGGUGUGGCUCCCUCACAACGGCCCCACCUCAGAAGAAAGGAAGUAACUGAGCCACAGCCAGAGGGCCCAUGCACCCUGCUUUCUCUUCCCCGAGAAGUUUCCGUUCUUUUUGUUCUCAGGGGAGGUGAGGAAGGGAGGAGGCCAGAAGAAGAACCUCGCCUUCUCGUGAGGCCCCUGGCCCAGGCUGCUGCGUUGUGUAAUCUCCUUCCUCCGCUCAGAGGAUCAGGACAGAAGGUGCAGCCAGGCACUGAGGACAGGCUGGUGCUAGCUGGUUCGUCACGUGCACCCGGAGUCCAGAGGGAUUUGCACCAGUUCCUCACCUCAGACUCCAGCCUGAGAUGCCUGUGACGGAGUGUGUUCACCUGCUUGCUGCUCCAGAACCACCUAAGGCUUCCUCCAGAGUUCACUUGGGGCUGCCCUCUGACUGUCAUUGAGGAACUCGGGAGUCUCCCUUCUGGGCACGCCCUCCUCUGCCAGGCGCUAGCUUUUAGCUCUCGUUUCCCUCCUCCUCACCUCCACUUAGGAUCCUUGGCUCAGGUUGUUGGAUGUUCAGUUCCUUCAGGUUUUCCCUGAAUGGAGCCAGAGGUUCUGAAUCCCUGCAGGUAGGGGAAGGGGGGAAAGAAAAGGUGGGAAUCUGGCCUGAGGACUGGACAGUAAGACCUUUCCUCAGACUCUUGACAUACAUGACUCCUAUGGGUGUUCACAUCAAAAUCUUGUCUUUGGCUCUAUUCCCUAUUUUGAGUCGUGUUUCCAAAGCCCCUCUUCUGUUAUUCCAGCAUAUCCAAGCCCCAGAAUGUGGGUGGGGGUGCUCCACACCAUGAAAAUGUUGGCACUUGUGAAGUGACAGGAAUUAUGAAAUGCAUCGGAAACCUAAAGGUGGCCCUCUGCUUAUGUUGGUAGGGCUUUGGUAGCGUCAUCAACAAGCGUCUGAGUAUAUCGCUUGGGUGGAGCUGCAGCUAGAAUUAGGGAAACAAAGACAUAGAAGUCAUGCUUCUGACCCUUACAGGGUCAUCACAAGACCAAGUUGGCCUGCAGGCCAGAUGAGUGGCCCCCCACAGUGCUAGAUGAAUUCACAGGAGGGAGCACUGACCAGGAAGUCUUCACAGAGGCAGCUCUCCAGGCUGGACCUUGAAAGCAAGAUAUAAGACUUGACAAGUGGCCCCCUGGAGGAGGACAUCCCAAGCGGGGGCGUAGGCAACAAGCUAAGACUCAUAGGUGGAAAUGGCAGCUGGCACGUUUGGAAAUUGCGAGAUCAUUCAGGAGGCUCCAGGACCCAUGUGAGGGGUUCUGCCUCAGUCAGGGCUCCCAGAGAAGCAGAACCAGUAGGAGAUAUAGAGUAAGAACUGGCUUAUGUGAUUGUAGGGGCUGGCCAGGAAAAUGGGCAACCCAUAGGGCAGGCCACCAGGUAGGGCAGGCUGGAAGGAAACUCACCAGCAGGAAUAGAAGCGGCUGUCCACGGGCAGGAUUUCUGCUUCCCUGAGGAAGCCUUAGCUCUCUCUGAAGGUCCUUCAACUGCUGGGAUUAAAUUAUCCGGAACAAAUUUAUUUAAAGUCAACGGAUGUUUUUUUUCAGCUUUAUUGAGGUAUAAUUGACAAGUAAAAUUUUAAGAUAUUUAAAUUGUACAUCAUGAUGAUUUGAUUUGUGUGUAUACUGUGAAAGGGUUUCUCCCAUCUAGUGAAUUAACACAUCCAUCACCUCACACCUCAUAUUAUACAUUUAACUUAUACUCUUGGCAAAUGUCAAUGAUACAGUAUAGUGUUAUCAACUAUAAUCACCAUGUUAUACAUUAUAUCCUCAGAUUGGCAUUAUUCAUCUU
Molecule: long non-coding RNA, 2245 nt
Organism: Callorhinus ursinus (northern fur seal)
Lineage: Eukaryota; Metazoa; Chordata; Mammalia; Carnivora; Otariidae
Source: RefSeq, a predicted model, not a curated record